AAAUCAUCAUAGGCACCGCAAGGUCCUAUAUACACCCCAAGCCUGGGAAGAGCAGUUGCUCGGAACGGCUUUGGUUGCAGCCCUCGGGCUGUAGGUCGGGACUGCCGCGAGGCGGUCCGUGACCACAUAGACGCUUGUAUGUUUGACAGAGUUUAGUUGCAUCAUAAAAAAUACAACUUUUAACAAUGGAUCUCUUGGCUCU
RNAcentral lists this unclassified non-coding RNA (202 nucleotides) under rhizosphere metagenome. RNAcentral describes it as "partial ribosomal RNA internal transcribed spacer region". The record is from RNAcentral.